CACCCUGGACUUUGCCUAGAUAUGGUGCUAACCUCUCCUGUGAGCUCACUCUGCCCUCUCUCCUCCCUCUUAACUCUGAGGUUGUCCAUCCCUUAAAACCUUUCUGGUCAUCUGGUAAGCUUGGGGAAGUCAGGA
Dipodomys ordii (Ord's kangaroo rat) is the source of this 135-nucleotide unclassified non-coding RNA. Ensembl annotates it as predicted gene, 27505. The record is from Ensembl. Lineage: Eukaryota; Metazoa; Chordata; Mammalia; Rodentia; Heteromyidae.